Long non-coding RNA from Lycium ferocissimum, 207 nucleotides. RefSeq lists it as uncharacterized. The transcript is spliced from 3 exons. The record is from RefSeq and is a predicted model, not a curated record. NCBI's taxonomy places the organism in Eukaryota, Viridiplantae, Streptophyta, Magnoliopsida, Solanales, Solanaceae.
UCUCUCUCUCUCUACUAAAUUCAUCACCCACCUCACUCUAUCUCUCUCUACAAAUUUCUACUUCACUUUGCACCCUAAUUAUCAAUGCUCUACUGAAUCUCGUAGCCGGGUUACUCAAUUCCAACUUGAAGCAUUGUCAACUCUCAAACGCCUCAAUUCGUUGCUCGUCGAAAGGUGUCGAAAAUGAAGAAAGGGACGGAGGCAGUG